CCGGCAUUUUCUCGUCAGAUUCAACCGUCUCUCAUCUGUCAUAUCCCACGACUGUAGCAAUCAGCGCCGGCAGAUUGGGGAAGGCCGCCCCGCCGGCCGAGCUCGGAUCCCCCUCAUCAAGCAGCCCCAUGAGCACUCUGCUCUAUCUCCCCCUGAUUGCAGCGACCGACGACGAUGGAUUAGAGGAGGCCGCCCCACCGGCCAAGCUCGGAUCCACCGCAUCAACCCUCCCCACGAGCACCCUGCUCUCUUUCCCCACCAGUUGCAGGCAACGGCGAAGGCUCAUGGAUGCCACAACCCGCGAUGGUUAAAGGGCCUGAACCUCUGGCUCUUGCUUUCUUUCCCCAAAGUAAAAAAUUCAUAGGAAGGUCUCUGUGGUGUCCCAGCUCUAAAGCUAAGGGAUCACCAAGAUACAGUGAAGGGAUUUGGGUGAGAAAAGCACCAAUGUCAGGUAGAUGAUAGAGAGUAGGUGAGAUCCAGAGUGGUGGAUGCUGCUAGGCUCACAGGUCCACCAUCCCCUGUCCCACGGGCCUGUGAUUGGUUGUCCGCAUCCGGACAUGGCGCGACAAUCUUUUGCUCAUUGAAGGUCCUAAUUGACGGUUUAGGUCCAACCCGAUGUGCGCAACCGACACAAAUGCUCGAGGUGUCGAUGAUCGCAGUGACUUGGAGUAUGAACCAGAUGCUGAAGAGGAGGCCCAUGUAGAGGAAGAGGUUUUGAGAGAUGAAGAGUAGGUCGCUCUUACUGUGUCCAAAUUAAUGACACCUCAAGAAAGAAUUGAACAGAAGGAUAGAGAGGCAAAAGUUGCAAACGACAGGCAGUGGGAGGAGUUAGCAGAGAUAUUUGAAGCACGAGAUAGAGCAUUUGAAGAGAUGUAGAGGAAGCAUCAAGAAGAAUUGAAAGCUAUGAAGAAGAGCCAACAAAAGAAGAAUGAAGCCUGUGAAAAGAAGCAACAGGGGAUGGAUAACCUGAUUGGUUUCUCUUAAGGGCUCAAGCAAACUCAGCAAACAAAUCUAUCAACCUGGUCGUGCAUGAAGGCCAUCGUUUUGUGAUAGACAAAUAGUUGCUGAGUCAUAUACAUUGCAAUCAUGAGGACAACACAUGUCUUCUUUUAGUUAUCUAAAUAUUACUCCCUCUGUCCCAUAAUAUAAGAGCGUUUUUUGCCACGCUCUUAUAUUAUCGGACGGAGGGAGUACUUCUCGUCUUGUCUAUUGUCGUGUCAAAAUUGAUUUUGUGUUAUUUUAUUGUUAUUUCUAUUUAGAGGAUGAUUCGGCUGAGAUUAUUGAAUAUAUAAUAUGAUUUGUCUUUCAUUUCAA
Long non-coding RNA from Triticum dicoccoides, 1314 nucleotides. RefSeq lists it as uncharacterized. The transcript has 6 exons. The record is from RefSeq and is a predicted model, not a curated record. Lineage: Eukaryota; Viridiplantae; Streptophyta; Magnoliopsida; Poales; Poaceae.